Molecule: ribosomal RNA, 231 nt
Filed under: uncultured bacterium
Lineage: Bacteria
Description: partial 16S ribosomal RNA
Rfam family: Bacterial small subunit ribosomal RNA
Source: RNAcentral
CGGACGGGUGAGUAAUGUCUGGGAAACUGCCUGAUGAGGGGGAUAACUACUGGAAACGGUAGCUAAUACCGCAUAACGUCGCAGGACCAAAGAGGGGGACCUUCGGGCCUCUUGCCAUCGGAUGUGCCCAGAUGGGAUUAGCUAGUAGGUGGGGUAAAGGCUCACCUAGGCGACGAUCCCUAGCUGGUCUGAGAGGAUGACCAGCCACACUGGAACUGAGACACGGUCCAG